UUUGGUGUCGAUGGCGGAGGGGAACCACACGUUCCCAUCUCGAACACGACCGUUAAGCCCUCCAGCGCCAAUGGUACUUGAACCGCAGGGUUCUGGGAGAGUAGGACGCCGCCAAGC
This 117-nucleotide ribosomal RNA is filed under the name Paenibacillus agricola. The record is from RNAcentral. Lineage: Bacteria; Bacillati; Bacillota; Bacilli; Caryophanales; Paenibacillaceae.